UAACGGCUCACCAAGGCGACAAUCCGUAGCUGGUCUGAGAGGACGACCAGCAACACUGGGGCUGAACCACGGCCAAUCCUCCUACGGGAGGCAGCGGUGGGGAAUAUUGGACAAUGGGGGCAACCCUGAUCCAGCGACGCCUCGUGUGUGAAGAAGGCCUGCGGGUUGUAAAGUACUUUUAGUGGGGAUGAAAAGCUCAGGGCUAAUACUGUUGGGUCUUGACCUAACCUAAAGAAAAAGCACCGGCUAACUCUGUGCCAGCAGCCGCGGUAAUACAGAGGGUGCCAGCGUUAAUCGUAAUUACUGGGCGUAAAGCGCGCGUAGACGGUUACAUAAGUCGGGUGUGACAGCCCCGGGCUCAAGCCGGGAAUUGUAUUCACGACUGCGUAGCUAGGGUGCGGAAGAAGAGCAGCGGUAUUUUCCGGUGUAGCGAUGAAAAUG
RNAcentral lists this ribosomal RNA (441 nucleotides) under uncultured soil bacterium. Its description in RNAcentral is "bacterial SSU rRNA". It matches the Rfam family "Bacterial small subunit ribosomal RNA", at positions 258 to 688 of the family's 1533-position model. The record is from RNAcentral.